Molecule: transfer RNA, 72 nt
Filed under: Phrynosoma platyrhinos (Desert horned lizard)
Lineage: Eukaryota; Metazoa; Chordata; Lepidosauria; Squamata; Phrynosomatidae
Description: tRNA-OTHER
Source: RNAcentral
GCCAGCAUGGUGUAGUGGUUUGAGCAUUGGACUGAGACUCUGUAGACCAGGGUUCGAAUCCUGAUUCGGUCA